RNAcentral lists this ribosomal RNA (253 nucleotides) under uncultured bacterium. RNAcentral's name for it is "partial 16S ribosomal RNA". It matches the Rfam family "Bacterial small subunit ribosomal RNA", at positions 524 to 776 of the family's 1533-position model. The record is from RNAcentral.
UACGUAGGGGGCAAGCGUUGUCCGGAAUCAUUGGGCGUAAAGAGCGCGUAGGCGGUCCGGUAAGUCCGCUGUGAAAGUCAGGGGCUCAACCCUUGAAUGCCGGUGGAUACUGUCGGGCUAGAGUCCGGAAGAGGCGAGUGGAAUUCCUGGUGUAGCGGUGAAAUGCGCAGAUAUCAGGAGGAACACCGAUGGCGAAGGCAGCUCGCUGGGACGGUACUGACGCUGAGGCGCGAAAGCGUGGGGAGCAAACAGG